This 498-nucleotide ribosomal RNA is filed under the name uncultured bacterium. Its description in RNAcentral is "partial 16S ribosomal RNA". It matches the Rfam family "Bacterial small subunit ribosomal RNA", at positions 30 to 523 of the family's 1533-position model. The record is from RNAcentral.
AUUGAACGCUGGCGGCAUGCCUUACACAUGCAAGUCGAACGGUAACAGGUCCUCGGAUGCUGACGAGUGGCGAACGGGUGAGUAAUACAUCGGAACGUGCCUAGUAGUGGGGGAUAACUACUCGAAAGAGUGGCUAAUACCGCAUGAGAUCUACGGAUGAAAGCAGGGGAUCGCAAGACCUUGUGCUACUAGCGCGGCCGAUGGCAGAUGAGGUAGUUGGUGGGAUAAAAGCUUACCAAGCCGACGAUCUGGAGCUGGUCUGAGAGGACGAUCAGCCACACUGGGACUGAGACACGGCCCAGACUCCUACGGGAGGAAGCAGUGGGGAAUUUUGGACAAUGGGCGCAAGCCUGUUCCAGCAAUGCCGCGUGCAGGAUGAAGGCCUUCGGGUUGUAAACUGCUUUUGUACGGAACGAAAAGCCCCGGGUUAAUACCCUGGGGUCAUGACGGUACCGUAAGAAUAAGCACCGGCUAACUACGUGCCAGCCGCCGCCGUAA